RNAcentral lists this ribosomal RNA (370 nucleotides) under uncultured prokaryote. RNAcentral's name for it is "bacterial SSU rRNA". It matches the Rfam family "Bacterial small subunit ribosomal RNA", at positions 524 to 896 of the family's 1533-position model. The record is from RNAcentral.
UACGGAGGGUGCAAGCGUUGUCCGGAUUUAUUGGGUUUAAAGGGUGCGUAGGUGGCCUUAUAAGUCAGUGGUGAAAGCCUGCAGCUUAACUGUAGGACUGCCAUUGAUACUGUAGGGCUUGAGUACUGAUGAGGUAGGCGGAAUUGAUAGUGUAGCGGUGAAAUGCAUAGAUAUUAUCAAGAACACCGAUUGCGAAGGCAGCUUACUAAGGAGUUACUGACACUGAGGCACGAAAGCGUGGGGAUCAAACAGGAUUAGAUACCCUGGUAGUCCACGCCAUAAACGAUGAUUACUCGAUGUAUGCGAUAGACUGUAUGCGUCCAAGCGAAAGCGUUAAGUAAUCCACCUGGGGAGUACGACCGCAAGGUUG